GGAUUAAGGAGUCACGUGACCGGUAAAGGAGGCCGUGUAGAAGACCUUUGGUCAAUGGAAUAAAACGGAAAAAUGUAUCAACCGAACCAAAGCGUGGAAGUCUGUUUUCUCUACACCUGCUGAACGCCAGGUACCACAUACCUUCAUUAAAAUCAGACAAGAAACAGGAGAGGUGACAAAAAGGUGACAUGUGGCCUGAGUUCCUCCUGUGUGAAGGAAAAACAUCACAUUCAACCACAUCCCUGCAUCAAGAAGAGUGUGUUCUGUCUGUUUUCAUUCGGACACGCAACAUAUGAGGAUAACAGAAACCAAUCUAGACUGGAUUGAAGA
Long non-coding RNA from Ictalurus punctatus (channel catfish), 330 nucleotides. The record is from Ensembl. NCBI's taxonomy places the organism in Eukaryota, Metazoa, Chordata, Actinopteri, Siluriformes, Ictaluridae.